AUGUACCACUCGUACACUCCGGUUCCUGUGCGCCGCCCGCACCCGCCUGACGACUGCUCGCUUGCGGAUGGUCAGCU
Molecule: small RNA, 77 nt
Filed under: Xanthomonas vasicola
Lineage: Bacteria; Pseudomonadati; Pseudomonadota; Gammaproteobacteria; Lysobacterales; Lysobacteraceae
Description: sX9 sRNA
Rfam family: Xanthomonas sRNA sX9
Source: RNAcentral